Molecule: ribosomal RNA, 505 nt
Filed under: uncultured bacterium
Lineage: Bacteria
Description: partial 16S ribosomal RNA
Rfam family: Bacterial small subunit ribosomal RNA
Source: RNAcentral
ACUCAAAGGAAUAGACGGGGGCCCGCACAAGCGGUGGAACAUGUGGUUUAAUUCGACACUACGCGAGGAACCUUACCUAGGCUUGACAUGCAUUUGACAGCUGUGGAAACACAGUCUUUUGGGCUUCGGUUCAGACAGAUGCACAGGUGCUGCAUGGUUGUCGUCAGCUCGUGUCGUGAGAUGUUGGGUUAAGUCCUCUAACGAGCGCAACUCCUGCUAUUAGUUGCUAUCUGUUAUGCAGAGCACUCUAAUAGGACUGCCUGGGAAACCAGGAGGAAGGUGGGAAUGACGUCAAAUCAUCAUGGUCCUUAUGUCUAGGGCUACACACGUGUUACAAUGGUCGGUACAAAGGGUCGCAAGCUCGCAAGAGUAAGCUAAUCUCAGAAAGCCGAUCUAAGUUCGGAUUGAGGUCUGCAAUUCGACCUCAUGAAGUUGAAAUCGCUAGUAAUCGCGUAUCAGAUAUGACGCGGUGAAUACGUUCUCGGGCCUUGUACACACCGCCCGU